GUUCUAUGGCUCGCGCUGCGGGUUGCUGAGGCUUGAACUGGAGGCGCACGCGGUAACACUUCCACCAGUUUGAAUACAGGGCUCGCUGUGUCUCAUCUGCUCCAGAAACCGAGGACUUACUUCAGAAAGUUGUGAUUGUGGGGUUUUUGUUUUUACUCAAGAGGAGGCUGAACAACUGAUAGUUUCCCAAGAAUGCGUCUGACUGCCUUUUCUGCGUGCGUCCUCAUCAUGUCCCUGCUGGACCAAGUGAGUGGACUCACAACCAUAGUGGGCAAAUAUGGUGAAACUGUUGAAGUGCCUUGCAACAAAGGAGACAUCAAAGUAGAGGACAUCAUGAUAGCUAAAUGGAAAUAUACCAAAGCGGACGGCACCAUCGUUGAUAUUCUGACAAAAUCAAAAUCUCAGGAUGCCUCGUUCUACCCAAUUGUGGAGUACGAAGGCAGACUCAACCUAACAAAGGACCUCAGCCUGCAAAUUUCCCAGGCAAAAAUGGCCGAUCAGAAGACUUUGACCUGUCUAGUGGUGGCAGGCACAGAAAUAUUUGAGUAUCCAGUUCAAGUGACAAUUCAGAAGGCCCCUUCGCCACCCGCAAUCACAAAUCAAUCCAAAGUGAUAGAGCUCGGCAAGCUAACAACGCUGGCAGUAUGUACUGCUAAAGAUGCCAGUCCAUUAGCUAUCGUCACCUGGCUGAAGGACAAUGUUCCGCUCGUAGCUGAUGGGAAAGUGGUCAACAUCACACUAAAUGUGCAGACAGACAAAAACACCGGCCUCUCGAAUACAUCUUCCAAGCUGGAGUAUGCCGCUACGAAGGCAGAUAUGAACGCUAAGUUCACUUGUUCCGUCCAUCAUAAGAGCCUUGCCUCGGACCUCGUGUCUGCUCCGAUGACCUUCGUCAUCCACUACCCCAGUGAAAAGGUCAGCCUCCAGGUCAUGUCUGCAGACCCGAUAAAGGAGGGAGACAAUGUGACCCUGAAAUGUGCGGCCGAUGGGAACCCCCCACCGACUAGCUACAACUUUCAUAUCAAGGAGAAGAAGGUGACCACGGAGAACUCGGACACGUACACACUCCAUAACGUCACCCGGGCCGACAGUGGAGAAUAUAAGUGCUCCCUGGUGGACAACGAAGGAAAGACAGGCUCUACUAGUUUUACCGUUAUGUACCUGCAUAUCGCCGCCGUCAGCCAAGGAAAGAUUGCUAAAAAUUUAUCCGAGAGCUUUGAGGCAACGUUAGAGGUGAACGCCUCUGGAAAUCCACAAGUCUUGUGGACAAAGAACAACGUCAGACUGAAUGGUAAGCCCAAGUUUGACAAGCUGAAGUACUCAGACUCCGGAGUGUACGAGUGUGUGGUUUCUGUGGGUGGACUUGUCAAAAAAGCAUCAUUUGAGCUGAGCGUCCAAGGUGCUCCAGUUAUCACUAUGCUGACUAAGUGUGGCAGUAAUGGACACAAGAUUCUGAGCUGCAAGGCUGAAGGAUCACCCAAACCCACUGUGCAGUGGAGCAUUAACGGCACUAAUGCCACCGAGAGUUCCUUCGUGGAUGGAACGGUCACAUACAAUCUCACAGUGACUGCAGCAGGCAAUCUCACAAUUAACUGCACCGUUUCUAAUGGGCUGGGCUACUACACAAAGAGCAUUGACAUAUCCACAUUGUUGGAUGACAUAACAAUGUUCAAAAGGGAGCAGCGGGAAGGCUCUGAAGAUCAGACGCAAGUAGUAGUGGGGAUCGUCAUAGGCGUAAUCGUGGUUGCUGUUGCUAUCGGUCUGGCCUACUGGAUCUACUUGAAGAGAACCAGGGAAGGCACCUGGAAAACUGGAGAGAAAGAGAAUGGCACACUGGAGGAAAGCAAAAAACUGGAGGAAACUCAGAGUCAAAAAGCUGAGGUGUAAAAAGCAAAGAAUACUUCCGGCAUAAGAAGGUGAAUGCUUCAUCCAGGCAUGAUUGCCCUUGAGGAGUCAUUGUGUAAAUAACUUCUUUGUUUUUUAGGAGAGGAGGCAGUAUUUUAUCAGACUGUAUUGCAAACUACGGAAACGUUUGGGAAGCCGAUAGGCGGUCAUCUAUUUGGAUGAUGAACCGUUAUCUGAUGUAUGCAUAAUGUAUAUCACCAUCCUCCUUACAAGUGGAAGAUUUAAUAAAUGAUGUGUGUUGUAUAAUUGUGAAUCUCCUGCACGUUGCUGUUUAAUAUUUGGUGGGUUUGACAGAAUAUUUGCCUUUUUUUGCUGUUGUUUAUUGUUUAUUAAACACCGAUUUCAUUAGUUCAAUUUACCUCAACGCUAGCCUGUAAACUGUGACUUCAUUUGUGUUUUGGAGUAAGAAGUGCGUCAUGCCGUUGGUUAUAAGUUGUUGGGUUGUUGUUUUUUUCACAUCUCUGCUCCACUUUUAGUACCUGAGGUAUGACUACAGUAACAGUUUUCUUUUGCAGUUCAUUGAGCACUUGGUUAUUUUCAUCAAGAUGUGAUAGUGAUCCUGAAAUAAACCAUUUUGAAAGUUAAAAUAAGCUUGCAUGUGCAUUUCCAAUGGCCAAACGUCCUUGGCAUGAGAAUCAAAAGCUCCAUUAAAACGUUAAACAAUAUGCUAAACGCUAUGUUUAAAAUCUAAAUUUCUAUGGUUUGGCAAAAUUAUGAUGGAUUAAAUCAUUAAAAUGCUAAUAAGGACAAAUGUAAAUGCUGAAUUCUCCAUUUUUGGAGUUUGUCAUUGACUGCAAAUAUUAUAUUAACCAUAUCUACAAUACUGAUAUGUUGCUUGUAGUACAGUUGUUUAAUUUUAAAUAUAAUACUGUUUUACUUGAAUUCAGCCCCUAUUUUCUGAUAGAUUUACAUACUCUGAUUUAGAUUAACAUAUAUUAUUCAUUUUAUUUGUGUGACCGGAUUUCACUUAUCAGUGUGCAACAGUGUGUUUUACCUUGACAUAUAAGCCUACUACCCUGAUAUCACUCUGAUAGUGUAUGACUAUAGAAAAAAAAGGUCUCUAAAAAUAGCCACUGCAAAAUACUUUCUAAUCCUACUAGUAAUUUACGUAUAGUCUUUAGGGCUUUAAGCUGCAGCUGUGAGACUUCAUCCAUUUAAUUUGAUAUAUGAGCAUAGAAUGUUAAUUACUUGAUAUGUUUAGGUAGUUAAUGGGAAUACAUCAGGUUUGCUAAACUCUGGAAACUCAUCAGAGUACUGACAGGUGAAUUACAGUCUAAUUCUGUGUUUUCAGUGCGUUCUUUCACAACUUGUUUAAAACAAACUAGUAGAGAUACAUUCGAGUCAUAGUUCUUUUUUUAUGUGUUUUGUAAUGUUCAGCAGAUGUCAAAUGGUAACAUAUGAUUUUCUAUUUUCUAUUCUUCUGCUAUGUAUAUUGUAUAUGCUUUGUGUGCCUGAUUCUGCUACGUUUCCCCCUUUGUUUUGUUUUUUGUUGUUUUUUUGCAUUUAAGUCUUGGUUGAGACCAAAGACUUGUUUAAGUAUUGUAAAUAUUUUUUUUUUUGCCAUUUGUUUAAAUAAAGUGUACAUUUUAGAAAUAAAACACAGAUGGCAUUUGCUUUUACUGAAA
This is an RNA transcript of Ictalurus punctatus (channel catfish), 3530 nucleotides long. It is a transcript of the gene named activated leukocyte cell adhesion molecule b, with no coding region annotated. The transcript is spliced from 16 exons. Lineage: Eukaryota; Metazoa; Chordata; Actinopteri; Siluriformes; Ictaluridae. The record is from RefSeq and is a predicted model, not a curated record.